GCGGCAGGCCUAACACAUGCAAGUCGAACGGUAACAGGAAGCAGCUUGCUGCUUUGCUGACGAGUGGCGGACGGGUGAGUAAUGUCUGGGAAACUGCCUGAUGGAGGGGGAUAACUACUGGAAACGGUAGCUAAUACCGCAUAACGUCGCAAGACCAAAGAGGGGGACCUUCGGGCCUCUUGCCAUCGGAUGUGCCCAGAUGGGAUUAGCUAGUAGGUGGGGUAACGGCUCACCUAGGCGACGAUCCCUAGCUGGUCUGAGAGGAUGACCAGCCACACUGGAACUGAGACACGGUCCAGACUCCUACGGGAGGCAGCAGUGGGGAAUAUUGCACAAUGGGCGCAAGCCUGAUGCAGCCAUGCCGCGUGUAUGAAGAAGGCCUUCGGGUUGUAAAGUACUUUCAGCGGGGAGGAAGGGAGUAAAGUUAAUACCUUUGCUCAUUGACGUUACCCGCAGAAGAAGCACCGGCUAACUCCGUGCCAGCAGCCGCGGUAAUACGGAGGGUGCAAGCGUUAAUCGGAAUUGCUGGGCGUAAAGCGCACGCAGGCGGUUUGUUAAGUCAGAUGUGAAAUCCCCGGGCUCAACCUGGGAACUGCAUCUGAUACUGGCAAGCUUGAGUCUCGUAGAGGGGGGUAGAAUUCCAGGUGUAGCGGUGAAAUGCGUAGAGAUCUGGAGGAAUACCGGUGGCGAAGGCGGCCCCCUGGACGAAGACUGACGCUCAGGUGCGAAAGCGCGGGGAGCAAACAGGAUUAGAUACCCUGGUAGUCCACGCCGUAAACGAUGUCGACUUGGAGGUUGUGCCCUUGAGGCGUGGCUUCCGGAGCUAACGUGUUAAGUCGACCGCCUGGGGAGUACGGCCGCAAGGUUAAAACUCAAAUGAAUUGACGGGGGCCCGCACAAGCGGUGGAGCAUGUGGUUUAAUUCGAUGCAACGCGAAGAACCUUACCUGGUCUUGACAUCCACGGAAGUUUUCAGAGAUGAGAAUGUGCCUUCGGGAACCGUGAAACAGGUGCUGCAUGGCUGUCGUCAGCUCGUGUUGUGAAAUGUUGGGUUAAGUCCCGCAACGAGCGCAACCCUUAUCCUUUGUUGCCAGCGGUCCGGCCGGGAACUCAAAGGAAACUGCCAGUGAUAAACUGGAGGAAGGUGGGGAUGACGUCAAGUCAUCAUGGCCCUUACGACCAGGGCUACACACGUGCUACAAUGGCGCAUACAAAGAGAAGCGACCUCGCGAGAGCAAGCGGACCUCAUAAAGUGCGUCGUAGUCCGGAUUGGAGUCUGCAACUCGACUCCAUGAAGUCGGAAUCGCUAGUAAUCGUGGAUCAGAAUGCCACGGUGAAUACGUUCCCGGGCCUUGUACACACCGCCCGUCACACCAUGGGAGUGGGUUGCAAAAGAAGUAGGUAGCUUAACCUUCGGGAGGGCGCUUACCACUUUGUGAUUCAUGACUGGGGUGAAGUCG
RNAcentral lists this ribosomal RNA (1459 nucleotides) under uncultured organism. RNAcentral describes it as "SSU rRNA". It matches the Rfam family "Bacterial small subunit ribosomal RNA". The record is from RNAcentral.